This 554-nucleotide ribosomal RNA is filed under the name Ascomycota sp. GPO_CO_01_H3. Its description in RNAcentral is "eukaryotic LSU rRNA". The stretch from base 168 to 321 matches the Rfam family "5.8S ribosomal RNA". The record is from RNAcentral. Lineage: Eukaryota; Fungi; Ascomycota.
CAUUACUGAGUUUACAACUCCCAAACCCUAUGUGAACAUACCUAUUGUUGCUUCGGCGGGAUCGCCCCGGCUGCCCAGAGCGCCGGAACCAGGCCCCCGCCGCAAGACCCAAAACUCUGUUUUUUAUAGUAUUCUUCUGAGUGGCUUCUAAAGCAAAAAUAAAUUAAAACUUUCAACAACGGAUCUCUUGGUUCUGGCAUCGAUGAAGAACGCAGCGAAAUGCGAUAAGUAAUGUGAAUUGCAGAAUUCAGUGAAUCAUCGAAUCUUUGAACGCACAUUGCGCCCGCCAGUACUCUGGCGGGCAUGCCUGUCCGAGCGUCAUUUCAACCCUCAGAACUCCCUUUCGGGGGAGGACUGGUGUUGGGGAUCAGCGUAGGCGCGGGGCUUCGGUCCCGCCUGCUGUCCCUCAAAUACAGUGGCGGUCUCGCUGUGGACUCCCAUGCGUAGUAACAUACCUCGCACGUGGAAACCUGGCUUGGCCAUGCCGUGAAACCCCCUAUUUUUUUGUGGUUGACCUCGGAUCAGGUAGGAAUACCCGCUGAACUUAAGCAAUC